RNAcentral lists this ribosomal RNA (252 nucleotides) under uncultured bacterium. RNAcentral describes it as "partial 16S ribosomal RNA". It matches the Rfam family "Bacterial small subunit ribosomal RNA", at positions 524 to 776 of the family's 1533-position model. The record is from RNAcentral.
UACGGAGGAUGCGAGCGUUAUCCGGAUUUAUUGGGUUUAAAGGGUGCGUAGGCGGGAUGCCAAGUCAGCGGUAAAAAUGCGGUGCUCAACGCCGUCGAGCCGUUGAAACUGGGUGCCUUGAGUGGGCGAGAAGUACGCGGAAUGCGUGGUGUAGCGGUGAAAUGCAUAGAUAUCACGCAGAACUCCGAUUGCGAAGGCAGCGUACCGGCGCCCUACUGACGCUGAAGCACGAAGGCGUGGGUAUCGAACAGG